AUUGAACGCUGGCGGCAUGCCUUACACAUGCAAGUCGAACGGCAGCACGGGAGCAAUCCUGGUGGCGAGUGGCGAACGGGUGAGUAAUAUAUCGGAACGUGCCCGGUCGUGGGGGAUAACGUAGCGAAAGCUACGCUAAUACCGCAUACGAUCUACGGAUGAAAGCGGGGGAUCGCAAGACCUCGCGCGAUUGGAGCGGCCGAUAUCAGAUUAGGUAGUUGGUGAGGUAAAGGCUCACCAAGCCGACGAUCUGUAGCUGGUCUGAGAGGACGACCAGCCACACUGGGACUGAGACACGGCCCAGACUCCUACGGGAGGCAGCAGUGGGGAAUUUUGGACAAUGGGCGCAAGCCUGAUCCAGCAAUGCCGCGUGCAGGAUGAAGGCCUUCGGUU
This 393-nucleotide ribosomal RNA is filed under the name uncultured bacterium. Its description in RNAcentral is "bacterial SSU rRNA". It matches the Rfam family "Bacterial small subunit ribosomal RNA", at positions 30 to 423 of the family's 1533-position model. The record is from RNAcentral.